AAAGGUAAGCUACUAAGAGCGAAUGGUGGAUGCCUUGACUGGUAAAGGCGAUGAAGGACGUACUAGACUGCGAUAAGCUACGGGGAGCUGUCAAGAAGCUUUGAUCCGUAGAUUUCCGAAUGGGGCAACCCAAUGUAUAGAGAUAUACAUUACCUAUAUAGGAGCGAACGAGGGGAAUUGAAACAUCUUAGUACUCUCAGGAAAAGAAAUCAAUAGAGAUUGCGUCAGUAGCGGCGAGCGAAAGCGCAAGAGGGCAAACCCAGUGCUUGCACUGGGGGUUGUAGGACUGCAAUGUGCAAGAGCUGAGUUUAGCAGAACAUUCUGGAAAGUAUAACCAUAGAGGGUGAUAGUCCCGUAUGCGAAAAACAAACCUUAGCUAGCAGUAUCCUGAGUAGGGCGGGACACGAGGAAUCCUGUCUGAAUCCGGGUCGACCACGAUCCAACCCUAAAUACUAAUACCAGAUCGAUAGUGCACAAGUACCGUGAGGGAAAGGUGAAAAGAACUGAGGUGAUCAGAGUGAAAUAGAACCUGAAACCAUUUGCUUACAAUCAUUCAGAGCCCUAUGUAGCAAUACAG
RNAcentral lists this ribosomal RNA (577 nucleotides) under Campylobacter jejuni. RNAcentral describes it as "partial 23S ribosomal RNA". It matches the Rfam family "Bacterial large subunit ribosomal RNA", at positions 1 to 591 of the family's 2925-position model. Lineage: Bacteria; Pseudomonadati; Campylobacterota; Epsilonproteobacteria; Campylobacterales; Campylobacteraceae. The record is from RNAcentral.